UUCUAACCCUAGCCGCCGCAUAACACAGCCCUCUCUCUAUCUCUCUGCGUUUUUUUGUUCUUGCUGAUCAACAACCACCAUCACAUUUCCUCUAAAUUUUCUUUCUCUCAUUUCUCUUAAAUAAUUACAGCAACCUCAAUACUACUAAUAUUUCUAGGAUUUUUCUUUCUAUCUCGUAUGUCUUAUUCUUUUUACUGGGUUCUGAUUCGGGGUAUUUGUUUUUCCGUUUAAUUCCACUGUUACUGGUUUAUAUCCCAAAUUGUUAAAACCAAAGUGUUUCUUAGAGCUUGUCAAAUGGAAGAACUGGAUACUCACAGAAGUGAGAUCUUAGGAAAAGUCAGCAAGCAUUAUUCAAAGGGAUGUUCGUUCCUAUUUGGCCCACCAAAGUUUCAUCUCGAUUCGCUUGUCUGCUAUACAGAUACAAGCUAUCUGCCAAGUUUCUCAAAAUAUUAUCCUACUGGUUCUAUUGAAGGAAAACUUAAACAUGAGAAGACUCAUGAGUUCUUUUAUAUGACAACUUGCUCGGAAAGUAUACGAGGGAUUGCAAGAGGCUUCUAUCCUGAUCAUUCAGAGGUGUUUAUGCAUGCAUAUUGCUAGGAAGGCAUACAAUAGAUUGUACAGCUCAGCUAUUUCUAUUCAAACUGGUAUGCGAGGGAUGGCUGCUCGCUGUGAGCUUCACUUUAGGAAGCAGACCAGUGCAGCUAUUAUCAUUCAGAGCCACUGCCCGAAAUACUUGGCCCAACAUCAUUUUAUAAACUUAAAAAGGCAGCAAUUGCCACCCAAUGUGCAUGGAGAGGGAAAGUCGAAAUCUCAAGAUGGCUGCAAGAGAAACUGGAGCUCUCCAAGCUGCCAAGAAAUAGCUUGAAAAGCAAGUUGAAGAUCUUACAUUGAGGUUGCAGCUGGAAAAACGCACGAGGGUAGAUAACUAUUAUUUUCAGUGUGAACUGCCAACUGUAAUUGUUUUAUUGUACCAGACUGACAGUUUUCCUGACCCAUGUUAAGCAUAUUAUUUAAUUUAUAAGAUAUUAUUGUAGUAAGAUUGGUUAGCUCUAGACAAUACUUAUCUGGAAACUUUAAUUGGUGGACCAAACGUGUAUUGUACAUAAUAUAUUUUUGUUUCUAGACACAAACACACUGUCAAGUAUAUCUUCCAUUAGUGGCGGUUUUGUAUAUAAUGUAUUUUGAUUCAACUAUAUAGGUCAUUCGCUUGCAAAGCUUCUUAAAUCUCUUGGAACAAAUGUAGGUUGACAUGAAAGAAGCAAAAAAACAAGAAAAUGAAAAAUUACAAUCUGCUUUGCACGAGAUGCAACUUCAGUUCAAAGAAACCAAGUCAUUGCUUCAAAAGGAGCGUGACUGCGUGAGGCUGCAAAAAGAGAAGCAGAGACAGUGCCUGUCAUACAGGAGGUUCCUGUUGUUGACCAUCCUUUGUUGGAGAGAAGCUAACGGGUGAAAAUGAGCAACUGAAGACCUUGGUGAGUUCAUUGGAAAAGAAAAUUGAUGAAACUGAGAAAAGGUAUGAAGAGGCAAAUAAACUCAGCGAAGAAAGGUUGAAGCAAGUUUUGGAUGCUGAAUCGAUAAUAAUCCAGUUCAAAACUUCUAUGCAAAGUAUUGAAGAGAAAUUCUUGGAUAUGCUGAAAAUCAAGUUCUUCGGCAACAAUCUCUACUUAACUCGAAACCUACAAUAUUUUCAUCCUCUAUUUGUAUUCUAGAGAAGGUCUUACCUAGGCACACAACUACUUAGGCACGAUUUUUAGCCCCACACAC
Long non-coding RNA from Trifolium pratense (red clover), 1764 nucleotides. RefSeq lists it as uncharacterized. NCBI's taxonomy places the organism in Eukaryota, Viridiplantae, Streptophyta, Magnoliopsida, Fabales, Fabaceae. The record is from RefSeq and is a predicted model, not a curated record. The transcript is spliced from 6 exons.